This 468-nucleotide ribosomal RNA is filed under the name uncultured bacterium. RNAcentral describes it as "partial 16S ribosomal RNA". It matches the Rfam family "Bacterial small subunit ribosomal RNA", at positions 28 to 507 of the family's 1533-position model. The record is from RNAcentral.
GACGAACGCUGGCGGCGUGCUUAACACAUGCAAGUCGAACGGAGAGGCCCUGCUUUUGUGGGGUGCUCGAGUGGCGAACGGGUGAGUAACACGUGAGUAACCUGCCCUUGACUUUGGGAUAACUUCAGGAACCUGGGGCUAAUACCGGAUAGGAGCUCCUGCUGCAUGGUGGGGGUUGGAAAGUUUCGGCGGUUGGGGAUGGACUCGCGGCUUAUCAGCUUGUUGGUGGGGUAGUGGCUUACCAAGGCUUUGACGGGUAGCCGGCCUGAGAGGGUGACCGGCCACAUUGGGACUGAGAUACGGCCCAGACUCCUACGGGAGGCAGCAGUGGGGAAUAUUGCACAAUGGGCGGAAGCCUGAUGCAGCAACGCCGCGUGCGGGAUGACGGCCUUCGGGUUGUAAACCGCUUUCGCCUGUGACGAAGCGUGAGUGACGGUAAUGGGUAAAGAAGCACCGGCUAACUACGUG